RNAcentral lists this unclassified non-coding RNA (268 nucleotides) under fungal sp. Its description in RNAcentral is "partial internal transcribed spacer region". The stretch from base 1 to 46 matches the Rfam family "Eukaryotic small subunit ribosomal RNA", at positions 1786 to 1831 of the family's 1831-position model. Lineage: Eukaryota; Fungi. The record is from RNAcentral.
AAGUCGUAACAAGGUUUCCGUAGGUGAACCUGCGGAAGGAUCAUUACAUUCAGUAGCUUGCUACUGUUAGGGGGGUCUAUCAGCCUGUAUAGUAUCACUACUGAUGAGCAGCACGACCCUCUGUCUGUACCCUUGUCUUUUGCGCACUCAUGUUUCCUCGGCGGGGUCUAUACCCGCCGGCUGGACAACUCUAUAACCUUUUUAAUUUUCAAUCAGCGUCUGAAAAACCUAAUAAUUACAACUUUCAACAACGGAUCUCUUGGUUCUG